RNAcentral lists this ribosomal RNA (700 nucleotides) under Rhodococcus erythropolis. RNAcentral describes it as "bacterial SSU rRNA". It matches the Rfam family "Bacterial small subunit ribosomal RNA", at positions 813 to 1494 of the family's 1533-position model. Lineage: Bacteria; Bacillati; Actinomycetota; Actinomycetes; Mycobacteriales; Nocardiaceae. The record is from RNAcentral.
CCUCGAUGAGUCGCUAGUGGUAGGGGCCUUCCACGCCGCACAUUAGUGCUCGCUAGCUAACGCAUUAAGCAGCCUCCCGCCUGGGGAGUACGGCCGCAAGACUGAAAACUCAAAGGAAUUGACGGGGGCCCGCACAAGCGGCGGAGCAUGUGGUUUAAUUCGAUGCAACGCGAAGAACCUUACCUGGGUUUGACAUCUUCCGAAAACCUGCAAAAAUGGGGUCCCCCUUGUGGGCGGUAUUGAGGUGGGGCGUGGGUGUGUUCACCUCUUGUGUCGAGAUAUGUGGGUAUGUCCCCCAACAAGCGCACCCCCUUUGUUCUGUUGUCCCCACGUUAUGGUGGGGACUCUUAAGAGACUGCCGGGGACAACUCGGAGGAAGGUGGGGACGACGUCAAAUCAUCAUGCCCCUUAUGUCCUGGGCUUCACACAUGCUACAAUGGACAGAACAAAGGGCUGCGAGACCGUGAGGUGUAGCCAAUCCCUUAAAUCUGGUCUCAGUUCGGAUCGGGGUCUGCAACUCGACCGCGUGAAGCUGGAAUCGCUAGUAAUCGCAGAUCAGCAUGCCUGCGUUAAAUACUUUCCCGGGCCUUGACCCCCCCGCCCGCACACUCAUGAAGUUCGGUAACACCCAAAUCCGUGAGCUUACCUUUAUGGAGGAGGGAGCCGUCGGUGGUGGGAUCGAUUGAUUGUGACGAAUCAA